UCUGAGUAAAGUACCACUGAAAGCGUAGAACCUGUCUAGAGUUCAAUAUUCAUACGAUUAUUUGAAUGAGUUGAGUUUAUGAUGAUCAUGGUGUGUUUAUUGUAUUAUUAAGAGAUUUAACUUAUAAGUUAGAAAUUAUAUUAUUAAUUUAAAAAUAUCAUGUUAUUUUGUUGCAUUAGCUCACCCUUGCUUUAUAUGUUGUUUGGUGGUUACUGUUGUGUUGUGCA
Molecule: long non-coding RNA, 227 nt
Filed under: Vigna radiata
Lineage: Eukaryota; Viridiplantae; Streptophyta; Magnoliopsida; Fabales; Fabaceae
Description: long non-coding RNA (VRAD_LNC012742)
Source: RNAcentral